GCUGGCAGCGUGUCUGAGCGUCCCCCGGCCCCGCGUUUUGCCAGACGUAUUUGCUGGCUACACGGGAAGAAAAUAAGCUCCAGGAAGGGCUACGUCGUGUUUGCUGCUGCUGCAGAGCUCAUUCCACCCCUGGGAACUACUCAGACCUCGCAGGAGGGGCCGGGCUGCUCCGUAGGGAAUUCAGGCGCUUUCCCUGGAGGCGCGUGUGGGAGCGCUGAGCUCAGCUGGGAUGGCAGCAUGGGAGAUAGCUGGGAAACCCUGGGGAUCUCGGGUCACAGGCGGCAGCGGCCGUGUGUUAUCAUUCCAGACUGCGCUCCGUGACCAGCCGACAAAUUGAAACAAGUUAUAGGAACCUCUCUGCGAAUGUAGGAAGGCUGUUUGUUAACCUUACUUGUGACUACAAAUGAUCAUGAACCAGGAAAUGGAUAUUUUCCCCAGACAAAGACUAGAGAGGAUGGAAGGGAAACUGUGGUCAUGUGAAGACCCAAGAGCAUCUGUCCUCACGCAAAGUAGGUGGCUAGAGGAACACUUUGAGAUACUUUGACACAUCUAUUCCAGAAGAUGCAGGGAAUUGGCAUCAGAAUACAGGAGGAAGCCAUGCCUCUCCAGUAUCCACAAAUAUUUGCUGUUGCCAUCAGUGAAUGGUGCUCUGUGUCGGUGUCAUUCGAUGGGGAUGAUGACACAUUUUAAGGCUCCCAUUCUCACCGUCACAUGGCUUUGUAUCCCUGCAUUUUAGUCAUUUCAGAGCAGUGCAUCACCACCCCACUGGCUCAUGCCGUGCUCUGUG
Molecule: non-coding RNA, 787 nt
Organism: Sturnus vulgaris (Common starling)
Lineage: Eukaryota; Metazoa; Chordata; Aves; Passeriformes; Sturnidae
Source: RefSeq, a predicted model, not a curated record